GUUAGUAUAGUUUAAUUAAAACAUUAGACUGUGGCUCUAAAAAUAGAGGUUUAAACCCACUUACAAACC
This 69-nucleotide transfer RNA is filed under the name Oplurus grandidieri. RNAcentral's name for it is "tRNA-His". It matches the Rfam family "tRNA". Rfam says of the family: Transfer RNA (tRNA) molecules are approximately 80 nucleotides in length. Their secondary structure includes four short double-helical elements and three loops (D, anti-codon, and T loops). Further hydrogen bonds mediate the characteristic L-shaped molecular structure. tRNAs have two regions of fundamental functional importance: the anti-codon, which is responsible for specific mRNA codon recognition, and the 3' end, to which the tRNAs corresponding amino acid is attached (by aminoacyl-tRNA synthetases). tRNAs cope with the degeneracy of the genetic code in two manners: having more than one tRNA (with a specific anti-codon) for a particular amino acid; and 'wobble' base-pairing, i.e. permitting non-standard base-pairing at the 3rd anti-codon position. Lineage: Eukaryota; Metazoa; Chordata; Lepidosauria; Squamata. The record is from RNAcentral.